GAUGAACGCUGGCGGCGUGCCUAAUACAUGCAAGUCGAGCGAACGGACGAGAAGCUUGCUUCUCUGAUGUUAGCGGCGGACGGGUGAGUAACACGUGGAUAACCUACCUAUAAGACUGGGAUAACUUCGGGAAACCGGAGCUAAUACCGGAUGAUAUUUUGAACCGCAUGGUUCAAAAGUGAAAGACGGUCUUGCUGUCACUUAUAGAUGGAUUCGCGCUGCAUUAGCUAGUUGGUAAGGUAACGGCUUACCAAGGCAACGAUGCAUAGCCGACCUGAGAGGGUGAUCGGCCACACUAGAACUGAGACACGGUCCAGACUCCUACGGGAGGCAGCAGUAGGGAAUCUUCGGCAAUGGGCGCAAGCCUGACGGAGCCACGCCGCGUGGGUGAUGAAGGUCUUCGGCUCGUAAAACUCUGUUAUUAGGGAAGAACAUAUGUGUAAGUAACUGUGCACAUCUUGACGGUACCUAAACAGAAAGCCACGGCUAACUACGUG
RNAcentral lists this ribosomal RNA (497 nucleotides) under uncultured bacterium. RNAcentral describes it as "partial 16S ribosomal RNA". It matches the Rfam family "Bacterial small subunit ribosomal RNA", at positions 28 to 507 of the family's 1533-position model. The record is from RNAcentral.